UACGGCGAGUGAAGCGGGAAGAGCACAAAUUUAAAAUCUACCUGGUUUCCAGGUCGAGUUGUAAUUUGAAGAAACGUUUUUGACGUUCCGGGUUGGGAUAAAUCCUUUGGGAURAGGUAUCAUGGAGGGUGAGAAUCCCGUGUAUACCAACCGCAGGGAUGUUAUUUAAUACGUUUUCUAAGAGUCGAGUUGUUUGGGAAUGCAGCUCUAAAUGGGUGGUAAAUUUCACCUAAUGCUAAAUAUAAGCGAGAGACCGAUAGCGAACAAGUACCGUGAGGGAAAGAUGAAAAGAACUUUGAAAAGAGAGUUAAAUAGUACGUGAAAUUGUUGAAAGGGAAACGAUUGAAGUCAGUCAUGCCGGCGGGAAUCAACUUAGGGGAAACUUUAAGUGCACUUCACGUUUGGCAGGUCAGCGUCGAUUUUGGAUAUCAUAAAAUGAUUGGGGGAAGGUAGCUCCUUCGGGAGUGUUAUAGCCCUUGAUAGAUGUGAUGUCUGGGAUCGAGGAUUGCAACGGAUACCCUUUGGGCUAGCCGCCUGAUCUCUAACUGGUGUUAGGUUACGGACAGCAUGCUGACCGUGAUUUAAUUACUGGUUAAAAGGUUAGAGCGAGUGUAAAUUCGUUAAGGACGCUGACGUAAUGGCUUUAAACGACC
This 653-nucleotide ribosomal RNA is filed under the name Dentiscutata heterogama. Its description in RNAcentral is "eukaryotic LSU rRNA". It matches the Rfam family "Eukaryotic large subunit ribosomal RNA", at positions 85 to 649 of the family's 3401-position model. The record is from RNAcentral. Lineage: Eukaryota; Fungi; Glomeromycota; Glomeromycetes; Diversisporales; Gigasporaceae.